UACGUAGGGUGCGAGCGUUAAUCGGAAUUACUGGGCGUAAAGCGUGCGCAGGCGGUUUUGUAAGCCAGAUGUGAAAGCCCCGGGCUUAACCUGGGAAUGGCAUUUGGGACUGCAAGGCUUGAGUGCGGCAGAGGAGACUGGAAUUCCCGGUGUAGCAGUGAAAUGCGUAGAUAUCAGGAGGAACACCGGUGGCGAAGGCGGUUCUCUGGGCAUGAUCUGACGCUGAGGAGCGAAAGUGUGGGGAGCGAACAGG
RNAcentral lists this ribosomal RNA (253 nucleotides) under uncultured bacterium. Its description in RNAcentral is "partial 16S ribosomal RNA". It matches the Rfam family "Bacterial small subunit ribosomal RNA", at positions 524 to 776 of the family's 1533-position model. The record is from RNAcentral.